RNAcentral lists this transfer RNA (68 nucleotides) under Sphaerodactylus townsendi. RNAcentral's name for it is "tRNA-Ala". The record is from RNAcentral. Lineage: Eukaryota; Metazoa; Chordata; Lepidosauria; Squamata; Sphaerodactylidae.
GGACAUGGCUUAGUGUCAGUUUCUGAUUUGCAUUCAGAAGGUCUCAGGUUCAAGCCCUGACAGCUCCU